UACGGAGGAUGCAAGCGUUAUCCGGAAUGAUUGGGCGUAAAGCGUCCGCAGGUGGCUAUGUAAGUCUGCUGUUAAAGAGUGAGGCUCAACCUCAUAAGAGCAGUGGAAACUACAUGGCUAGAGUGCGUUCGGGGCAGAGGGAAUUCCUGGUGUAGCGGUGAAAUGCGUAGAGAUCAGGAAGAACACCGGUGGCGAAAGCGAUCUGCUAGGCCGCAACUGACACUCAUGGACGAAAGCUAGGGGAGCGAAUGGG
This 253-nucleotide ribosomal RNA is filed under the name uncultured bacterium. Its description in RNAcentral is "partial 16S ribosomal RNA". It matches the Rfam family "Bacterial small subunit ribosomal RNA", at positions 524 to 776 of the family's 1533-position model. The record is from RNAcentral.